CCUACGGGAGGCUGCAGUGGGGAAUAUUGGACAAUGGGCGAAAGCCUGAUCCAGCCAUGCCGCGUGUGUGAAGAAGGCCUUCGGGUUGUAAAGCACUUUCAGUGGGGAAGAAAGCCUUGGGGCUAAUACCCUCGAGGAAGGACAUCACCCACAGAAGAAGCACCGGCUAACUCCGUGCCAGCAGCCGCGGUAAUACGGAGGGUGCGAGCGUUAAUCGGAAUUACUGGGCGUAAAGCGCGCGUAGGCGGUCUGAUAAGCCGGUUGUGAAAGCCCCGGGCUCAACCUGGGAACGGCAUCGGGAACUGUCAGGCUAGAGUGCAGGAGAGGAAGGUAGAAUUCCCGGUGUAGCGGUGAAAUGCGUAGAGAUCGGGAGGAAUACCAGUGGCGAAGGCGGCCUUCUGGACUGACACUGACGCUGAGGUGCGAAAGCGUGGGUAGCAAACAGGAUUAGAUACCCUGGUAGUC
This 465-nucleotide ribosomal RNA is filed under the name Vreelandella stevensii. RNAcentral describes it as "partial 16S ribosomal RNA". It matches the Rfam family "Bacterial small subunit ribosomal RNA", at positions 338 to 795 of the family's 1533-position model. Lineage: Bacteria; Pseudomonadati; Pseudomonadota; Gammaproteobacteria; Oceanospirillales; Halomonadaceae. The record is from RNAcentral.